CGUGUGAAGUCUUUCAGCAUAGAAUCUCGCGACGAAGCGGAGGAGGGCUCCUCCCUUCCUCAUUCCCCACACGGCAACGGCGCCCAACAGCCCUCCAUCCCACCACCGGUGUGAGUCUGCAAUUGUGCAUGUGCAUGUAUGUAUGGUACGUGUGUCCUGGGGCAGAACUGUGCUAUCACAGGACUGUAAAGAGGCGUGUUUGUCCUCCCUCCCUCCUCCUCCUUAUCCGUUUUUCUUGUUCGAUAUCGUCAUCGCGUUCGUCUUCCUUGAUCCAUUUAAUAUAUAUAUAUAUAUAUAUAUCUGUGCGUGUGUGUGAUCCGUUGCUGCGUUGAUCUGAAGUUUUUGCUCUCUUGCUCAGGAGGGAAGACAGUUAACACUUUAGCUGCCGCCGUCGCAGCAGCACCAUCUUGCCUGUCACCUCUGUAUUGGGAGAGUGCCGACGUCAUCAUAAAGAUACGCGUUCGACCCGCGGCUUUUUGACCUCAAUGACAACGUUGAGCGUUCUUAACCAGUCCACUACCUCCCCUCCCGCUGCUGCUGCUGCUGCUGCUCGCUUUCGUUGUUCUCGGGUCCGCGCUGAGGAGAUACUAGAUUGGCGUUUCCCGGUGAACGUAUCACUAUCCUGUUUUUUUUUUUCGAUCGCGGAGCUGCUAGCCGCCAUCGCUCUGGUAAGCGAUCUGAUCUAUGGAAGCUGUCAUUGACGACGAGGGCCUCGAGCCAGCGGCGGUGCGGCAGCGCACGGAGAGGGGUGUCUGGUCACCCAGCAAUAACAGCCGACACGACAGCGCUGGCAUCCGCGAUGAGUUGGCUGGCAUUGGCGAACAGAUCAAAACGCUUCAGUUCCAGCUUAGUAGCAACCUCUCUCCCGAAACAAAGGUAUCAGAGGUCGUCACGCAGACUCUGUGGGACUUGUUGUGGCGGCUACGCACGUUUCUCUUCCUCGCCUCCCCGUCUGCGGCGCAUCAGUGGAGGAUCGGCGGGGCACUCUUCAAUGUGUAUUAUCGCCGCCACUACGGCAGGGAUGCGGCCCACGUCGCAAUCGCGCUUCGGCUAUACUUGGUCCUCUUGCGUUUCACUGCUGUCUGCCCAGCCGCCGCGCUCCACGGCUGCCUCACUCUCUUUGGUGUACUGGCAGUGCUAAACGACCCUCGUCUGAGGCCAUGGAAGGACACGUCUGAGAGGCUUCUCGAGGGCUUUCUUUUUGUGUCACGGGCGCUGCACCGCAGUGAGAAUAAUGUCUUGCGCAACUCAUUAACGUCGCAUUCGAGCUGCUCUCGGAGGUCACGGCGCACUUCAACGGCUCGGCAGCGGAGACGGAGAGUGCGCUGUUCCUCCAGCUCUCCGUGGAGCCCGCAGCGGAGCUGUUGUCGCAGACAGAAGGCUCACUGCCGCCUUCCGCUUCGCCGAAAUCGGCAUCGGGCGCGGAAAGCCGAGCGCGGCGGCUUCAGGAGCUGUUCUCCACCUGCACCUGCGUGGAGACCCUGUACGAGGCGCGUUGCAUUCAGGUCUGCCUGUUGCGGCUGGUCGUGCGUCUCAGCGAAGAGCGCCUGCUUCUUUCGCUUUCUCCCGACCGCGUGGUCUUCUCUGUGACGUCGCCUGCCACCUCGUCUCUAGCGCAGUCCCCGGCGCUGAGGGUGGCGUGGUGAACCGCGUGCAGCACGAUGCGGCGUGGCACACUCUUCGCCACUUCGCGGUAGUAGAUCGUCGCCUGCUUCCGCACAUACAGGGUCCUCUCAUCUUGUCCGUCUUGGCGGCUCAGUGGAGCCGUCGAGGGGCACAAACGUGUUCGUCCAUCUUCAACAUAACGGUUGCGGAAAAGGCGCUGUUCGACUGGUGCCGGCGCCUCAGCACGGAGGAGCUUGACUCGCUCGUCGUCGCUGCGUAUCACCGCGGCGGAGUGGGGCCUGAUGGCCAAGACGCGAUGACGGAGUGUCUCGCGCAGAUGUGGGAAGUGGGGGUGCAGUGGUGCGCGGAUUUAUACACCAGCCCUAGUACGGCCGUUGACGGUAUUGUUGCAAACACCGCGUCCUGCUCGGCGAGCAGUGUUUCCGCCAUGGUCACGCUGCAGCAGUGGGUAUGGCUAUGUGAGAGGGUGUUUCGCAGCACGGUGGCGCAGAGGAGUGCGUUCGCAGGGCUAACGCAAAUGGGUGAACCGAAGCUGCUCGCGGCGUACGACCACCAGUUGCAGCUUCUGGUGAGUGAGCUACCUCUCUCGUCGUUGACCGCCUCGCUACUGUGCACGCAGCUGCCGUCGUUUGCGGUGGAAUCGGAGUUGGCUUUUUGCCGAGCCGGAUCCUAUCCUUUUUCAACGGGCAAGCACUGAUUGCGUGUGUCGCGGAAGUAGUGGACCGCGCGAAGAACUGUAUCGAUGUCUCCGCCUACCGUUUGCUAGAGGCUAAUGCACUUGCAGUUCAGUCACGUCUCAAGGUGUCCUCAUCGGUGGUCCAGUGCGACGCCGCAGCCUUUCAGAGUGCUCUGGCGGAGACGCUGCAGGUGAUGCAGCACCACGAUGCGCCGUCCUACAGCCUCCUUGUGCAAGCCAUCAUUGUCCUGGUGCACGCCUUUCCAGUAGACUCGGAGAACGGAGAGGUUCGCAAGUCCGACACUGUGGCGCGCGUCAUGCAGGCGCUCGAUAAUAGUAUCUCCUCUCGACACAACGGGAGUUAUGCAGCUCUGGAGGUCGCUGCGCCGCUGUGGCACAUGCUGGAUCGAGAGACCGCCGCGACCCUUUUUCGUGCAGGUUCAGGGCUUGGAUGGACUCGGCGACUGCUGGCGCUGCCCCCGCAAACCGCGACAUCGGCGACAACAGCCGAGUUGUUUCUGUGCCGAGCUGCUGGACUCGCCGAAGCACUUCAGCACGCGCUGGAGGAGACGAUACUGAGAGAUGGUGCCUCGACAUCUCGCUCCACUUCGCAUUCCCCCGCCCCUAAAGCUCUUCCUGGGCCGUGGCGGCCCGUGGGCAGAUGCCGGGACGCCUGCGGCGUGUGUACGAGUCGAUUGCGAGUCAUUUUCCCGUUGUUGUGCAACUGCUUCAGACUCUGGGCGCUCUUCUCACAACACUCCAGCGCGACGCGCAGUGGUGGCGCUGCAUGCGUAACGGCAAAGGCGGCACGUAUGCUGAGGCUAGCGGGGCCAUAGUGGCUUUAGGAAAUUUCUUUCGCCACGCCACUAGCAUCCUCGUGCUGCUGCUGGACGCCAAGUACCGGUUCGCUGUCAUCGCUGGUUCUGAGGCUGGCAAGGGGUGCAACGGCGCCUUGGCUGGUGCAGCACCGAUCUGUGAGCGGAGUAGCACUACGAAAGAGCCUCUGGCACAGGCGGCGACGGUCGUGGAUGUGGACGACGACGAUAACGCGGACGGCGUCUUCGAGGAAACGAGGAAGCAAAGAAGCCGCAUCGACACCGAAAGGCAACAGCGAGCGGCGCCACGCUCAGCUCGAAGACAGGAAAGGCUUCAGCUAAAGCAGCUGUGGGCGGUGCACCGCAGGCCUCUAACUUAUCCCAGCAGUCGAUCGCGAAAACGAAGCAACUGGAGAAGAUUGUGCAGCUGAACAGGUCGAAGCUCUUGCCCGCUCUGCUCGCCUUCACCCGGCGCUUCGUGUAUGAAGGAAAGGGCAGAGGUGCAUCACCUGACGCAGACGAGGUGCAAAACGAGGAUGGCCGUUCUAGUCAGCGAGCGGCGGGGAGCGUGCGCAACCACGCAAGUGCCCUCGAGUGCGCGCUGCUUUCUCUGGCUUACACUUCCCUUGCGCUGUCCCCUCCUUUUUCGCUGAACGACGUGAACGAACUCUUCAGCCUCGCCUCUGUGGGCGCGUACAAUGUGAAGGACAGUAUCCUCUACUGCGCACUGCGCGAACUGGUGCUGUGGAGUCCACAAUUGGCGUGCCGGGAGUGCGAAGCGGGCGAUUCUGCGAUGCCGACGCUGCUGCUAGUGCGACUCUCUGGGACUGAGCAGCUGCUGUCAACGGUACUUUCAGCGAGGCGAGAUGGCAACACUACAUACAUCGCCGAAUGCGGCGCGCAGAUCUACAGCUGCUGUGGUUCGGCCGACGUUUUUUCCAGCGCGCUGGUGAUACACGGGCAGAAGCGGCUGAUAAGCCGGAGAGAGAGCAGCGGCUGUCACUUACAGAUGCGUCCGCAGCGGUGCAGGAGGACUGCAUGGCCGCCUCUGAACGGGUGACACAGGAGGGAUAUGCGUGGCUGUGCCUCUGCUUCGACCUCUACGCGGUGUAUCACAGUGUACGCCCCGCGCACAACGACACCGCUUUGGCUGUCAUGGGCCUGUGCGUUGAGACAGCGCGGGGUGUGAUGGCGGUGUUUUCGUGGUCGGCCACCGAUCUCCUGCGCUUCCGCGAACGGCCAUUUGUGUUUUCGUCCUUUUUCAAGGCUAUCGUGGACAAGGAAGACCGCGACAUGAAGGUCAUCUUGACAUCGUCACUGGAUGUCCUGGGGCGCUAUGUCAUCUCGGCAGGUGUGGACCAAGCUGGUGGUGGAACCGUAGCGGCGACAGCCACGAUGUCCACUGUUGUGCCGGGCGACGGCGUCACACGAGCGAAGCUGAAGCACCUCAUGGACCAAGAAAAGAUUGCUGACUGGAGAGCCGCAGCAGGGGCGCUGGCGUACGCCCUCUACGCGUACGGCGGCAAGCCGGCCGCGAAGCAAAUGCUGUACCUUGCAGAGGCGGCGAGCUACGCCAAGAAGAGUAUCCAGGACGUGCCGUCGAUGGUGCGGUCGACGAUCCACUUUGUUGCGUUUCACAUUGUAUCCCUCGAGGCGGAUGCCCAGAUGCUGGCGUACGACCGUAGGUGUCACAGUGGGCGAGAUCACCGACGCUGCCUGAGCGGGGCAGCAGCUGUGCACGCCCCUCUUGCGGUCGUGGGAGGGUCCGCGCACUCACUCUUCGUCUGCGACCGGUCGGAAGGAGGCGACGGUGCGGAAGCAGUGGGCGUCGAAGACGCAAGCACGUCACCACCAGAGCGCACGACCACCGGCGAGCUGCACGCCGCGGAGGGUGACGGAGGUGACGCGUCGGCCAGCAAGGAGGUACUCGACGGUAUAGCGUUUUCGGUCUUCGAGCGGGCACUGGAGCAGUUGGUGACGCUGGGCGAGGCGGCCGAGACAGCUUCCGCGGUGGAGAACUCGCUGCGAAAGCCGGUGGUGCGUGCAGUGGCGGCGGAGGAGCUACGCAAGAAUAUGUUUGCCGUGCUGGACGCCGUCUACAAGGCCAUCCGCAUCGAACCUGCGGUUGCUUGCCGCAGCGAGGGCGCCGACGCGACCGACAAAGAGGAAGCAAGCGCCGCGCCACCCGUGUCGCUUCGGACGCGGCGUCGAUGGCUGCUUGGCUUGGCAUCCUUUAUUCGUUUUAUGGGUCCGCAGACGACGCCGAUCGCGCUGAUGCUGCCGACGCUACUGGGUCACUGUGCCCGCUUUCCCAGCCUGCUCCCAUCGGUGUGCAUUGUGUGGAGGGAGCUGAUCUGCGCCUGCACAGACGAGUACCUCGCGGAGUCGGCCGCCGCCAUCGUCCUGAGCCUCGUGAGCCUCGAGCAGCAAGCUGCCCUCGAGAGUGAGUCGAAGGGACUCUUGCUCUGUGCCCUACGCCACCUGUACACCCGCACGGAGGCGGCAGAGUUUUGGGACUCGUACAAGGUGGUUCUCGGAACCUUCAGCGAACUGGUGCGUGCCACCCUUCACUCGCGACACUCCGGCUGCGCCGAGGCCGCGGAACGAUCGGAAGAGAGUCGCCGAGACAGCGCGCACGUUCUCCUCCUGGGGUUUGCAUCUGUCAUGCGAUCUGGCUCGCUGCAGUCGAGCACCGUCUUUGUCCGCGCCCUCUACCAGUACCUCUGCGCUGCAGAUGAAGCAACGCGCCGGCAGCUGUCCCACGCGGCCGCCGACCACCCAGAGGUGUUGCAGACACUGCUGCGAUGCACGGAGGCCGACGCUGACAGCGCCCUGUACGCCAUGCGGUGCAUUAGCAUUCUCGGAGCCGUCGCUGCACCGAAUGCGGCAGCGUCGACAGGCGCGCGGUGGGCCACUAAGACUGCCGAUGACGAGCGGCGAAGCUCAUUGGCCCUCUCCUCGGCGUCUGCUCUUGACACGUGGAACCGGAUGACGUGGACGCAGUCCUUCUACCUGGACGCGGAGACGGUUCUGAACUGGCGCAAGUUCUCGUUUACACUGCUGAGGGACUACUUCCCUCGGGUGUUCGCAAGCACAGCAGACCCGGUGCUGCACAAUUGCAUCGCCUUUGCGGUGCAGGAGCUGAUUCGUGCCUCGACUCGGCAAGAGCGUCUUCAGCACAAGGGGGUCGAGCUGCGCCGCGAGGAUAUCGUGCACGUCGACGAGCUGGACCGUUAUAUCUGGUGGAUGCGCCUGACGCCGCAUGUGAAGCAGCUCUGGGCGGGUUCACGACAACGCGGUACUCGCUGACAGUGAACUGGCAGACGCGCCUCCGCUCGCCGGAGUACACGCCGUCGCUUGAGUAUCGGCGCUGGCUCUUUGCCUUCUUCAACCAUCUUGUCAUGUCCUGCGAGGGCUGGUUCGCGGAGAUGGUGCAACCACUACGGAACGUCGCCAAGAAGAAUGCCUCUCUCGUGCUCUACUUACUGCCGUACCUAGUGGUGCAUAUCCUGGAAUCCGGCAAGGUGGAGGACGUCCAGUACAUCGAGCACGAGGUGAAAGCGGUACUCGAGGCCGCCGCCGGGGGGCCGAACGUCGCUGUCUUGUCACUCCGGUCGCAGAGCAUCUACGAGGCGAGUCCUGAGACCCUGUCACAGGAGGAGCCGCGCGAGCACGCACACACCGUGCUCAGUCUUCUCGAAGAUGUAGAGCAGCUGCGGUGGACGCUGCUGCGCAAUCGCGGACGCGUCACGUGUGUCUUCGAGCCGCAAGAGCAGACGGAGAGCCUGUGCAUCCGCCUUGCCGAGAUGUAUGGCGACUUCCUGCGCGGUAUCCCGUGGCCGCUACGUUGCCGUGCUGCCCUCCGCAUCGGCAGCCACAUUCGGGCCCUCCGCAGCGUCGAGAGUCAACGCCGCAUUCCUGGGCUGGCGUCCGUCAUAGCAGCGGUGCCGCUGCAGCGCAUUUUCGCGGCGCUAAAAGAUCGCGAAUCUUCCCGCUCCAUUCACCGCGCCUCGCCUGGACUCUCGUUGGAAGACACGGCCUUCUCCUUUGAGAACAACGGCGACUGGCUGUCCGCGCUGGGGAGCUCGGAACUGGUCUUGCAGCAUCGCCCGCACAGCGGGCAGCACCAGCUGACAGCGCUGCACUGCAUGAAUGAACUGGGGGAGCUCUACAUGACCUCGCGCUACGCAGCCUCCCUGCUAGCUUCCGCGUCGGUAUCCGACAGUGACGUGCGAGGGCUCGAGGCGAAGGAGUACUUGUCAGGUGCCGCGCUCAAAGGCAGGUCGACUUUUUCACAGAUGGUGAGUGAUGCACCAGGAGGAGCAGCAGCGGUCAGCGACUUUGCGCAGCUGCGCCACCACGUGCAGGCGUACGCGAACGAGGCGGCAUGGCGACUCGGCCAGUGGGACACGCUGCUGCCGUCCAGCACGGCUGCUAGCGCGGCCACUGCGCCGGUGAACUCGGGGAUGCCUACAGUGGGGUCUGACGGGGGUCGGUCGGUGAGCCUUGCCAUGCCCGCCGCGUAUCUCCAGCGAGCCCUGUCAGGAAACGGCUCUCUUGCCUUUGUACGGUGCGUAACCGACAAGGAGCGUGCCAAAGUGGUGCCUCUGGUUCGAACUCCGUGCCAGGAAGACCUGACGGCGCAGGGCUACACUGUCACGCUGCUCUUGCAUGCACUCGGCGAUGUGGAUGCCGUGUCGGAGCUGUGCGCCAGAGCCUUCAUCACAAACGGCAGCGGUCACCACUGCUGCGGGGACGGCUCCGACGCGUCCCAGUCGAGUGCGCCAAUGAUGAAACUGGCUGCACCGCUUCUGCCGUCAUCGGUGAAGGAAGAAAUUGCGAGCCUCUUGUCACGACGGGAGUCCUACGUAGAGGACACCAUCGCAGCCCGCGAGCCGCUACUUGCGCUUCAUCGCCUCAUCUACCGCGAGCUAGACAUGCCGCAGAAGGUGGCGGAGACGUGGCUGAAGCAGUCCGAGCUGCUGCGCAACGGCGGUCUCGGCGAGGCAGCCCUGACAGCGGCCCGCCAAGCGGCUUUCGAGUGCCGGGAGCACGUGACGGCGACCAGCUACUACGUCUUGGUGGCGAACCUGUUGCACGAUACCCAGUCGCCGACACCAGCGAUGGAGUUCGCACGCGAGUGCGUGGCUGAUGCACGUAUCCCCGCCACCACCCGCGCACAGCUGCAGAUAUUGCUCACGAACUGGCUGAUUGAGACGGGUUCGGAGCGGCCGGAGCAUAUCUUUGCCGAGUACGAGAAGGCGCGCGAGCUGGACCGCAAGUCGGAGCUGGUUCAUCACCAAAUGGCGCUCUUCUACGAUCAUCUGCAUACCCUCGCCAGCAACGCAAGCGAGGGCGCAGCAGCCCAGCUAACAGCGGCGGCCACGUCACCGACAUCGAGCAGCACCGCGAAUGUGUCGGCGGCGGUCAUGUAUAACGCGGCACUGCAGCACCAGAAGGAGAUGGUGGACUCUAUCCAAAGGUGUGCGACACGCGCCAUCGUCCACUUCGGCGAGGCUCUACUGCGCGGGUCGAGAAAGCGUCGGUAUCGCUGCCGCGCAUGCUCACCUUGUGGCUCGACAGCGCCGUGUUUCUUGGCGGCCUGAUGGGCACGACUGUUGGCAAGCUGGACGGCACUACCUCGGCGGUCCUGGGGGAGAUGAACAAUCGAAUUCGGGAGUUCGUGCUGAGCACGGUGCGGCCGGUCAUCCCUCCAGCUGUCGUGAUGACGGCACUGCCGCAGCUUCUUUCCCGCCUCGGUCAUCCCGUGACAGCGGUGCGCAACGUCUUGACGGACAUCGUGCUGCACCUUAUGGAUCACUUUCCGCAGCAGUGCCUCUGGCUGGUGCUCCCGAUGGCGCUGAGCAAGGAGGGGCCCAAAGAAGUGGUGGAGACGCAGAUCAUCAAAUCUUUCGCCGACAACCCUCGCAACGAGCGGGUGUUGCGGCACGCAAAAAUCCUCUGCGACACUCUGUUGACCAUCUGCAACUGCUCUGCCAGCCUCUUUCCGAAAGAGAAGGGGCUCACGCAGCUCAGCCCCGUACAGAAGAUCACCCCAAUGCUGGCCACGGCCAAGUUUAUCGUGCCCGUGCUGUCGAACUUGACCCCGGACAUUCGCGCGAGCUCCAGCGAAGACGUAUUUCCCACGGCGCCGUGCUUUGACCACUUCGACGAUCGCGUGGUCGUCAUGCGGUCGCUGCAGAAGCCGAAGCGGAUUUGGGUGCACACAAACGACGGCCGCGAGAUGUCGUUCCUGUGCAAGGCGAAGGAUGAGCCUCGCAAGGACAUCCGUAUGAUGGAGGUGGCGGCGCUCAUGAACUCCUUCUUCCUCUCCGACCCGGAGGCGAAGCGGAAGCGCUUCUCGCUACGCCGCUACGCCAUCACCGCUCUCAGCGACGACUGCGCCGUGAUUGAGUGGCUCAACGAUACAACACCGCUGGCCAAGGUGGCGAUGGAGUGCUACGCAUUGGACCGCUCCGGCGUGCACAUCUCCUCCGUCAAGAAGUGGAUGGCCCUGGUGGAUGAGAAGAAGAUGAGCAAGAUGGAGCUUUUUACCAAGUACAUCUUGCCCGAGGCGCCUCCCGUAAUGCAUCAGUGGCUGGACCGGACGUUUGCGAGCAACCAGAGCUGGUACGAGGCGCGCACGCUUUUCACGCAGUCCACAGCACUCUGGAGCAUCGCUGGCCACAUUGUGGGACUCGGUGACCGACACGCAGAGAACUUGAUGAUUGACAUGGAGCGCGGCGAGCUGAUGCACGUAGACUUUGCGUGCAUGUUCGACAAGGGCGAGAAGCUGGAGGUGCCGGAGCAGGUGCGCUUCCGACUCACGCAGAACCUGACGGACGUGAUGGGUGUGCUCGGUGCCUACGGUCCUUUCCAGGCCACGUGCGAGGUGGCACUGAGGUGUGAGAUGAAGAACAAAAGUGCCGUCAUGUCCAUCAUUGAGACGCUUCUCCACGAGCCACUGAUGGAGUGGCGGCGGCAGAGCAGUCGCUCACACUCGUCGAACGGUCCGAAGCAGCUCAUGGAGCGUGUAGCACGUCGGCUUGAUGGGUUUCUCGACCUGUACUCGGUCCCCGCUCAGCGUGAUACGCUGUCGCUGAAUGUGGAGAGCCAGGUGGCGAAGCUUAUUCACCACUCCUCCGACCUGAACAACCUCUCGCAGAUGUAUAUUUGGUGGAUGGCGUGGAUUUGAGGGCCGCACAGAGACGUGCCGUGCUGGAGGGGCGCGUAGUCGAGCGGGACCGGUGUCUUAUGCGGGUACUAGAAACGGCGAAGAGCGGCACCCACAUCCGUGCAGUGCCAUUAUCCGUUUAGACAAACGAUAACAGGGCAACGAGGAGCGAAGUAUGAGAUUCCCUCGGCUUGCCACCACGUUCAUGAUCCGAAAGCGCGCACAGAAAAUGUGAAGCACAACAAAAGGAAGCAGUGCAGCGCAGCGCAGCGCGCGACAAACAAACAAACAAAAAAACAUAAAGACGAGGGAAAAUGGCUACACCCAACCGCGAAGGUGCCGACUAGUGGUAACGCUGGAGCCCUUCGUUGUGGAGGUUUUGCUUUCGUGUAGCAGAUACCGUUCCAUCUCCUGUUUUUUUUUUUUGCGCACACGCUCCCCUACCCGCGCACGUGGAUGGGGCGAGCGUCCGAGUGCUCAGCUGCUGAUUAGUGGCUCACUCGCGGGUGUGCUGUCUCAUGACCGGUACAAGAAGUCUUUAUUUCUUAUGCCUGCCGACGCUCUCUCUUUUUUUUUGCGGUUGUUGUGGCGAAG
RNAcentral lists this unclassified non-coding RNA (10885 nucleotides) under Leishmania donovani. Its description in RNAcentral is "gene:LdHU3.32.1920(CDS-product:phosphatidylinosit ol_3-related_kinase_putative)". The record is from RNAcentral. Lineage: Eukaryota; Euglenozoa; Kinetoplastea; Trypanosomatida; Trypanosomatidae.